UUUGAACGCUGGCGGCAGGCUUAACACAUGCAAGUCGAGCGGGGGAAGGUAGCUUGCUACCGGACCUAGCGGCGGACGGGUGAGUAAUGCUUAGGAAUCUGCCUAUUAGUGGGGGACAACAUCUCGAAAGGGAUGCUAAUACCGCAUACGUCCUACGGGAGAAAGCAGGGGAUCUUCGGACCUUGCGCUAAUAGAUGAGCCUAAGUCGGAUUAGCUAGUUGGUGGGGUAAAGGCCUACCAAGGCAACGAUCUGUAGCGGGUCUGAGAGGAUGGGCCGCCACACUGGGACUGAGACACGGCACAGACGCCUACGGGAGGCAGCAGUGGGGAAUAUUGGGCAAUGGGGGGAACCCUGAUCCAGCCAUGCCGCGUGUGUGAAGAAGGCCUUAUGGUUGUAAAGCACUUUAAGCGAGGAGGAGGCUACUUUAGUUAAUACCUAGAGAUAGUGGACGUUACUCGCAGAAUAAGCACCGGCUAACUCUGUGCCAGCCGCCGCAGUAA
This 501-nucleotide ribosomal RNA is filed under the name uncultured bacterium. RNAcentral's name for it is "partial 16S ribosomal RNA". It matches the Rfam family "Bacterial small subunit ribosomal RNA", at positions 30 to 523 of the family's 1533-position model. The record is from RNAcentral.